Homo sapiens (human) is the source of this 1121-nucleotide long non-coding RNA. RefSeq lists it as uncharacterized. Lineage: Eukaryota; Metazoa; Chordata; Mammalia; Primates; Hominidae. The transcript has 2 exons. The record is from RefSeq and is a predicted model, not a curated record.
CGGAGGGACACGGAGGGACACAGAGGGACAUGGGGGACACGGAGGGUGCGUGCUGCCCUCUCCCGUACAGGUAGGGCUCCCCGGGACACGGGGACACGGAGGGACACGGAGGGACAUGGGGGACACGGAGGGACAUGGGGGACACGGACGGUGCAUGCUGCCCUCUCCCGUACAGGUAGGGCUCCCCGGGACACAGGGACACGGAGGGACAUGGGGGACACGGAGGGACAUGGGGGACACGGAGGGCGCGUGCUGCCCUCUCCCGUACAGGUAGGGCUCCCCGGGACACGGGGACACGGAGGGACACGGGGACACGGAGGGACAUGGGGGACACGGACGGUGCAUGCUGCCCUCUCCCGUACAGGUAGGGCUCCCCGGGACACGGGGACACGGAGGGACACGGGGACACGGAGGGACAUGGGGGACACGGACGGUGCAUGCUGCCCUCUCCCGUACAGGUAGGGCUCCCCGGGACACGGGGACACGGAGGGACACGGGGACACGGAGGGACAUGGGGGACACGGACGGUGCAUGCUGCCCUCUCCCGUACAGGUAGGGCUCCCCGGGACACGGGGACACGGAGGGACACGGGGACACGGAGGGACAUGGGGGACACGGACGGUGCAUGCUGCCCUCUCCCGUACAGGUAGGGCUCCCCGGGACACAGGGACACGGAGGGACAUGGGGGACACGGAGGGACAUGGGGGACACGGAGGGCGCGUGCUGCCCUCUCUGGGGGCUCUGGCCUUCCUUUGCUUGUGGUCUCAGGAAAGCACACCCCGGGCAGAUGUCCGCCUGCUGCCCAUGGGGCCCAGGGCAGGAAUGGCCCAGCUGCUUAUGGCCUUAUUCUUUUGUGUGCAGGACAUUAAAUUGCCUCCAAUUAGGUCCUUCAACCUCUUUGGUGCUUGGAUUUCCUGAUCUGGUGGGGUCUGUCGGCUUCUCUUCAGUGCGAUAUAUUUAAAUGGAUAAAAAUAUGUUAGUUCCCAAAGAAUUGUAUUAUGUCUAUUACGUCAAGAUACCGUUGUUGAAAUAUUUUCAAAAAAUACAUUAGUGAUGUGGAAAUGUUAUUUCUUUACUAAUGGACCAAAUAAAAUCUGGUAUAAUGGGCACCUUUAAAGAAA